Molecule: long non-coding RNA, 1210 nt
Filed under: Phaseolus vulgaris (common bean)
Lineage: Eukaryota; Viridiplantae; Streptophyta; Magnoliopsida; Fabales; Fabaceae
Description: long non-coding RNA (PVUL_LNC004245)
Source: RNAcentral
UUCUGGUUAGUUAGCAUGGCUGUUCCUCCUUCAGCUUUCAUUGCUGAGCUUUCAGUAGUUGGGGUCUCCAACAUCAGUCCUCUCCUGCUUUCUUCACUUCGAAUAAUGGCUACCACUUCAUUAAGCCCUGGGACUUUCUCUUUUCCCAAGAUUUGGAUUCGAACCUGAUCAUAUUCAGGAUUCAGGCCUACCAAGAAAUCAUAGACUCUAUCUUGUUCAAUAUACUCCUUAAGGAUUGCUGAGUCUUCUGAACAUUUUGCUUUUAUAACUCGGUAGUGAUCCAAUUCCAUCCAUAGGGACUUGAGUUGAUUGGCAUAUUCUGUAACAGAUUUGUUUCCCUGCUUAGCAGCCACGGUUUUCACUUUUACAUCAUAUAUUUGAGCAGCAUCCUUGGCCUUAGAAUAGGUUUGUUCUACUGCCUCCCAAAUUUCCUUUGCUGAUUUAAGGAACAUGCAGGUAUCACUGAUUUCUGGGACCAUUGAAUUCCACAGCCAUGCCAUGAUCAUGGAGUCUUCUUCAUCCCAUGAUUUGAACUUGGCAUCCUGUUCAUCAGGGGCCAUAUCAGUCAGGUGACUGACCUUUCCUUUUCCUUUCAGGAUGGUUCUAAUGAGUUGAGACCAUUUGAGAUAAUUUUUUCCAUUUAAUCUAUAAGCAGAAUGAACAUUCUGCAAUUCUCCAGCAGUUUGGAAUCUGUCCCCAAUAGGAUUCACGAUCUCAGUGAUCUCAGCCAUCACAGUGAUGAACAGUAGCGGCGGUGAACAGUAACCGUGAUGAACAGUGCGUGGUGAACAGUAACCGCGGUGAACAGUAGCCGCGGUGAAGGCUACACAGCAAUGAAGGCUGCGAUUAGGCCAAGGUUGUGCAGCAAUGAAGGCUGCAGCAAGGCUCAAUGUUGUGCAGCAAUGACGGCUGCAACUUAGGGUUUUCAGGCACGGUCAGAGACUCCUAAAGAUCAGGAGCUCUGAUACCAUAUCAAGUUUAGAAGGAAUAAUAUUUUCUUCUAUUUAAAUUAUGAGGUCAUUAGACCUAUAUAUACAUGAGAGCUUGCUAGUUAUUUUAGGAAAUAUGGACAACUAAUUCUAGAGAAACAAAUCCCUAUGAUUGUGGGAUUGUUUCUAAAUACAUAAUCCUAAUAUUAAUAGUAAGAUACAGCUGUGAUACAAAAUAAAAAUAUAAUAAGGAUAAAAUAUAAAACUUCCUAAACAGUUUU